AGCGAACGCUGGCGGCAGGCCUAACACAUGCAAGUCGAACGGACCUUUCGGGGUUAGUGGCGGACGGGUGAGUAACACGUGGGAACGUGCCUUUAGGUUCGGAAUAAGCUCGGGAAACUGGGUCUAAUACCGAAUGUGCCCUUCGGGGAAAGGAUUAUCGCCUUUAGAGCGGCCCGCGUCUGAUUAGCUAGUUGGUGGUGUAAUGGACCACCAAGGCGACGAUCAGUAGCUGGUCUGAGAGGAUGACCAGCCACAUUGGGACUGAGACACGGCCCAGACUCCUACGGGAGGCAGCAGUGGGGGAAUAUUGGACAAUGGGCGGAAGCCUGAUCCAGCCAUGCCGCGUGUGUGAAGAAGGCCUUUUGGUUGUAAAGCACUUUAAG
RNAcentral lists this ribosomal RNA (383 nucleotides) under uncultured bacterium. RNAcentral describes it as "bacterial SSU rRNA". It matches the Rfam family "Bacterial small subunit ribosomal RNA", at positions 29 to 439 of the family's 1533-position model. The record is from RNAcentral.